This 31-nucleotide non-coding RNA is filed under the name Mus musculus (house mouse). Lineage: Eukaryota; Metazoa; Chordata; Mammalia; Rodentia; Muridae. The record is from RNAcentral.
UGAGUUGAAGCCAUGGUCCCUACCCACCUCC